Molecule: ribosomal RNA, 254 nt
Filed under: uncultured bacterium
Lineage: Bacteria
Description: partial 16S ribosomal RNA
Rfam family: Bacterial small subunit ribosomal RNA
Source: RNAcentral
UACGUAGGGUGCGAGCGUUGUCCGGAAUUAUUGGGCGUAAAGAGCUCGUAGGCGGUGUGUCACGUCGGCCGUGAAAACCUGCAGCUUAACUGUGAGCGUGCGGUCGAUACGGGCAUCACUGGAGUUCGGCAGGGGAGACUGGAAUUCCUGGUGUAGCGGUGAAAUGCGCAGAUAUCAGGAGGAACACCGGUGGCGAAGGCGGGUCUCUGGGCCGAUACUGACGCUGAGGAGCGAAAGCGUGGGGAGCAAACAGG